CAUGGAGUUUGAUCCUGGCUCAGAUUGAACACUGGCGGAAUGCUUUACACAUGCAAGUCGAACGGUAGAGGGGGCAACCCCUCGAGAGUGGCGAACGGGUGAGUAAUAUAUCGGAACGUGCCCAGUCGUGGGGGAUAACGUAGCGAAAGUUACGCUAAUACCGCAUACGAUCUAAGGAUGAAAGCGGGGGAUCGCAAGACCUCGCGCGACUGGAGCGGCCGAUAUCAGAUUAGGUAGUUGGUAGGUAAGG
Molecule: ribosomal RNA, 250 nt
Filed under: uncultured Limnohabitans sp.
Lineage: Bacteria; Pseudomonadati; Pseudomonadota; Betaproteobacteria; Burkholderiales; Comamonadaceae
Description: partial 16S ribosomal RNA
Rfam family: Bacterial small subunit ribosomal RNA
Source: RNAcentral